This 364-nucleotide ribosomal RNA is filed under the name uncultured bacterium. RNAcentral's name for it is "partial 16S ribosomal RNA". It matches the Rfam family "Bacterial small subunit ribosomal RNA", at positions 338 to 699 of the family's 1533-position model. The record is from RNAcentral.
CCUACGGGAGGCAGCAGUGAGGAAUAUUGGUCAAUGGACGCAAGUCUGAACCAGCCAUGCCGCGUGCAGGAAGACGGCCCUACGAGUUGUAAACUGCUUUUGUACGAGGGUAAAGUCAGAUACGUGAUCCUCUCUGAAUGUACCGUACGAAUAAGGAUCGGCUAACUCCGUGCCAGCCGCCGCGCGAAUACGGAGGAUUCAAGCGUUAUCCGGAUUUAUUGGGUUUAAAGGGUGCGUAGGUGGGAGGUUAAGUUAGAGGUGAAAUCACGGGGCUCAACUUCGGAAUUGCGUUUGAUACUGUCCGACUAGAGAGUAGUGGCGGUAAGCGGAAUGUAUGGUGUAGCGGUGAAAUGCUUAGAGAUCA